RNAcentral lists this transfer RNA (77 nucleotides) under Myxococcales bacterium. RNAcentral's name for it is "tRNA-Leu". It matches the Rfam family "tRNA". Rfam says of the family: Transfer RNA (tRNA) molecules are approximately 80 nucleotides in length. The record is from RNAcentral. Lineage: Bacteria; Pseudomonadati; Myxococcota; Myxococcia; Myxococcales.
CGGGAUGUAGCUCAGCCUGGUAGAGCGCCUCACUCAAGACGAGCAGGAGGUCGCGGGUUCGAAUCCCGCCGUUCCGA